GUUGAAGGUUGGGUAACACUAACUGGAGGACCGAACCGACUAAUGUUGAAAAAUUAGCGGAUGACCUGUGGCUGGGGGUGAAAGGCCAAUCAAACCGGGAGAUAGCUGGUUCUCCCCGAAAGCUAUUUAGGUAGCGCCUCGUGAAUUCAUCUCCGGGGGUAGAGCACUGUUUCGGCUAGGGGGCCAUCCCGGCUUACCAACCCGAUGCAAACUGCGAAUACCGGAGAAUGUUAUCACGGGAGACACACGGCGGGUGCUAACGUCCGUCGUGAAGAGGGAAACAACCCAGACCGCCAGCUAAGGUCCCAAAGUCAUGGUUAAGUGGGAAACGAUGUGGGAAGGCCCAGACAGCCAGGAUGUUGGCUUAGAAGCAGCCAUCAUUUAAAGAAAGCGUAAUAGCUCACUGGUCGAGUCGGCCUGCGCGGAAGAUGUAACGGGGCUAAACCAUGCACCGAAGCUGCGGCAGCGAACGUAUCACCCAAGACAACUUUACGGAGUUGACGAUUGACGGAGCGAAGCGACGUCAAAGCGUUCAUUAAAGUCGAGUUGGCUUAGGGAUACGUUCGUUGGGUAGGGGAGCGUUCUGUAAGCCUGUGAAGGUGUGUCGUGAGGCAUGCUGGAGGUAUCAGAAGUGCGAAUGCUGACAUAAGUAACGAUAAAGCGGGUG
RNAcentral lists this ribosomal RNA (667 nucleotides) under Salmonella enterica subsp. enterica serovar Typhimurium. RNAcentral's name for it is "partial 23S ribosomal RNA". It matches the Rfam family "Bacterial large subunit ribosomal RNA", at positions 744 to 1323 of the family's 2925-position model. Lineage: Bacteria; Pseudomonadati; Pseudomonadota; Gammaproteobacteria; Enterobacterales; Enterobacteriaceae. The record is from RNAcentral.